Molecule: ribosomal RNA, 468 nt
Filed under: uncultured bacterium
Lineage: Bacteria
Description: partial 16S ribosomal RNA
Rfam family: Bacterial small subunit ribosomal RNA
Source: RNAcentral
GACGAACGCUGGCGGCGUGCUUAACACAUGCAAGUCGAACGGAAAGGCCCUGCUUUUGUUGGGUUCUCGAUUGGCGAACGGGUGAGUAACACGUGUGUAACCUCCCCUUGUCUUUGGGAUAACUUCAGGAAACUGGGGCUCAUACCGGAUAGGAGCUCCUGCUGCAUGUUGGUGGUUGGUAAGUUUCGGCGUUUGGGGAUCGACUCGCGGCUUAUGAGCUUGUUGGUGGGGUAGUUGCUUACCAAGGCUUUGACGGGUAGCCGGCCUGAGAGGGUUAACGGGCACAUUGGGACUGAGAUACGGACCAGAAUCGUACGGGAGGCAGCAGUGGGGAGUAUGGCAGAAUGGGCGGGAGCCUGAUGCGGAGACCCUGGGUGCGGGAUGACGGCCUUCGGGUUGUAAACCGAUUUCGCAGGUGACGAAGAGUGAGUGACGGUAAUGGGUAAAGAAGCAACGGCUAACUACGUG